Molecule: long non-coding RNA, 332 nt
Filed under: Erythranthe guttata (spotted monkey flower)
Lineage: Eukaryota; Viridiplantae; Streptophyta; Magnoliopsida; Lamiales; Phrymaceae
Description: long non-coding RNA (EGUT_LNC000373)
Source: RNAcentral
UUAUGUUUCUCUAACAUAUAUGUAAUGUAUGUAAUGGUUAUAUUUUGCUGAUAUCUUUAGUGUUUUCCUUCUUGUCUGAAUUUUCCAUCUGUCGAUUUCCAGGUUGGGAAGCACUAGUACAAUCAACUGACUCCGAAAGCUCGACGAAAAGGUGAGUUACAAUGCAUAGUAUAAUAUACUUUUGGGUUGAUGAUGAUUUUUCGGCUGCUCGUAGUUAGACUGAAUAUAUACACUUUUGGAUUGAUGAUACCUUUUCUGCGUGUUUAUUUCGAUUUGAUUAAAUGUCCUGUAUAUAUGUUGGAACCUAGCUCGAAUCGGCCUGAGUAAUGAAG